RNAcentral lists this non-coding RNA (97 nucleotides) under Slackia isoflavoniconvertens. Its description in RNAcentral is "Glycine riboswitch". It matches the Rfam family "Glycine riboswitch aptamer", at positions 9 to 86 of the family's 94-position model. Rfam says of the family: This family represents the bacterial glycine riboswitch. Glycine riboswitches usually consist of two metabolite-binding aptamers domains with similar structures in tandem. Lineage: Bacteria; Bacillati; Actinomycetota; Coriobacteriia; Eggerthellales; Eggerthellaceae. The record is from RNAcentral.
GCCUCUGGAGAAUCCCAAUCAUUUGGGUGCCGAAGGGGCAAGCGUCGCGAAACCCAUGAUCGCGCGGCGUGAAACUCUCAGGCAAAAGGACAGAGCA